Molecule: ribosomal RNA, 652 nt
Filed under: uncultured bacterium
Lineage: Bacteria
Description: bacterial SSU rRNA
Rfam family: Bacterial small subunit ribosomal RNA
Source: RNAcentral
AAAGGUGGCUAUGCUACCGCUUUUGGAUGGGCCCGCGGCGCAUUAGCUAGUUGGUGGGGUAAAGGCUUACCAAGGCAAUGAUGCGUAGCCGAACUGAGAGGUUGAUCGGCCACAUUGGGACUGAGACACGGCCCAAACUCCUACGGGAGGCAGCAGUAGGGAAUCUUCCACAAUGGGCGAAAGCCUGAUGGAGCAACGCCGCGUGGGUGAAGAAGGUCUUCGGAUCGUAAAACCCUGUUGUUAGAGAAGAAAGUGCGUGAGAGUAACUGUUCACGUUUCGACGGUAUCUAACCAGAAAGCCACGGCUAACUACGUGCCAGCAGCCGCGGUAAUACGUAGGUGGCAAGCGUUAUCCGGAUUUAUUGGGCGUAAAGAGAACGCAGGCGGUCUUUUAAGUCUGAUGUGAAAGCCUUCGGCUUAACCGGAGUAGUGCAUUGGAAACUGGGAGACUUGAGUGCAGAAGAGGAGAGUGGAACUCCAUGUGUAGCGGUGAAAUGCGUAGAUAUAUGGAAGAACACCAGUGGCGAAAGCGGCUCUCUGGUCUGUAACUGACGCUGAGGUUCGAAAGCGUGGGUAGCAAACAGGAUUAGAUACCCUGGUAGUCCACGCCGUAAACGAUGAAUGCUAAGUGUUGGAGGGUUUCCGCCCUUCA